RNAcentral lists this ribosomal RNA (253 nucleotides) under uncultured bacterium. Its description in RNAcentral is "partial 16S ribosomal RNA". It matches the Rfam family "Bacterial small subunit ribosomal RNA", at positions 524 to 776 of the family's 1533-position model. The record is from RNAcentral.
UACGUAGGGUACAAGCGUUAAUCGGAAUUACUGGGCGUAAAGCGUGCGCAGGCGGCUUUGCAAGACAGAUGUGAAAUCCCCGGGCUCAACCUGGGAACUGCAUUUGUGACUGCAUGGCUGGAGUGCGGCAGAGGGGGAUGGAAUUCCGCGUGUAGCAGUGAAAUGCGUAGAUAUGCGGAGGAACACCGAUGGCGAAGGCAAUCCCCUGGGCCUGCACUGACGCUCAUGCACGAAAGCGUGGGGAGCAAACAGG